UUAUUUUAUAUAGGAAACAACAAAAGCUCUUUCUCUCAUAAGAACAAAAACCAGCCACAUGCAUAUUAAAAAAGAAAAUGAAAAGAAGUAUAGUAAAGCCACACAAAGAAGAACAGAGGCGGAGAGAUACCGAGAAUGGCGGACGGAGCUCCUCCGGCACGGUGGCCGGAGGUGAAAAUUUUCAGAACUCGAAAAUUUUACAUCAUCCCGUUCGUUUUUCUCUCCUUAGUUCAAAUAUCAGUGCAGGUAACACGAAAGUAAAGAUGGAUUCGGUAUCAGAAGAAGGUUCUCAACCUUUUGAGGCAAAGAAAUAAAAAAACGGUGGCGGUUGAGAGCUCCGGCACGGCGGUUUUGGAAUUCCGGCGGUGGUUUCCGGUCAAGCUCGGUUCAGGAGGAGGUGAACCCGAUGCCAAACCAUGAAGCUUAGAAGAAAAUGGUAGACUUGUGAAGGUGUAAACCAAGAGUUUUGACAUGAAUUUGUUCUUUGAAUCUUAGACCAUAGGAAAUCUCAAAUUAUGCUUCUUGUAGGAUAAGAAACUUUGUAAUUUGGUAUAGGAACCUUGAAUCCCUCUUGUAUUUUUGAAGCUUUAACUUGAAGAAAAUUGGAUUCUUUGAAUGGAAUGAGGAAUCUUGUUUUGAACCUUGUAA
This is a long non-coding RNA of Vicia villosa (hairy vetch), 648 nucleotides long. RefSeq lists it as uncharacterized. The transcript has 3 exons. NCBI's taxonomy places the organism in Eukaryota, Viridiplantae, Streptophyta, Magnoliopsida, Fabales, Fabaceae. The record is from RefSeq and is a predicted model, not a curated record.